RNAcentral lists this long non-coding RNA (299 nucleotides) under Homo sapiens (human). RNAcentral describes it as "long non-coding RNA NONHSAT183151.1". The record is from RNAcentral. Lineage: Eukaryota; Metazoa; Chordata; Mammalia; Primates; Hominidae.
CUUAGGGACACUGGAUUUUGUGGAUGCUCCUUGGACACACUGGAAUGCACCUUGGGCAGCCCGUGGAUCAUUUUCCCCAGUAUGAAGCAUGGGAGGAGCUGGAAAAUGAACUCAUGAGCCAGUUGAGCCAGCACAACAAGCUGGAGCCAGGCUAACCAGGACAUUUCUUCUCAUGGCAGAAAGUCUGGCUGGGCUAGCUUUUAUCUUGUGCUCCCUGGAACCCUGACUGGAUGAUUUCUGAAGUCGAGCUGGAGCCCAUCUAGAGGGAAGGUGAAACUUCUCCUCAGCAUGCAGGGCCU